RNAcentral lists this long non-coding RNA (784 nucleotides) under Carica papaya (papaya). Its description in RNAcentral is "long non-coding RNA (CPAP_LNC011948)". Lineage: Eukaryota; Viridiplantae; Streptophyta; Magnoliopsida; Brassicales; Caricaceae. The record is from RNAcentral.
AAUAGAACGCUGAACACAAUAGUAGAAAAAUCGCACGAAAUGGGAAACAAGAAGGGGCUCAUCGAAGGCAGUUUUGGGUUUUGCCCACGGUAGUGCUACCGAGCUUUGCCCAUGGUUUCUGGCUCAUGCACCAUUCCUUUUGCUCUUAUUUGGCCAUGGGGGUGCUCCAAAUCAAAUUCUGAGCAGAUAGGAGAAUUUUUACCUUUUUUGGCUGUCGAAAGUUGCUCUGGCGUGGCGGCGGGCAGCGAUCGGCUCCCUUCUCUAGCGAUUGGUUCUUCUUCUCUGGCUGGAGACUAGUGGCUAGGGUUUGGGUUCAGUGUGAUGUGCGAUAUUUGUACCCAUCUCGCUUAAAUCUGGACCAUUCAUCACGUUUGAUCUCGUCCGUAUGAUCGCGUUUAAAGAAAAAAUGAAUCUGGAUCGUUCAUCGCGAUUUGAUCUCGACCAUCCGAUCGCGUUUAAAGAGGGAACAAAUUUGAGCCGUUCAUCACAUUUAAUCGUGACCGUCCGAUCGAGCAUGAGGAGGGAACGGAAUUGGACCGUCCAUGCGCGCGAGAAUGCUUAUGAGUCAUCCGAUCGUGGGCACGUAGAUUGCCAGCGUGGCCUCACGCUUGGCGCUGAGUCUGCGUGCCUUGCCACGCAGCAUGCUCCAGUUCGUUGGGGCUACUGACUAGGCGGUCCUACGUGGCAAAUUUUUUUUUAAUUACGUUUUGACCCCUAAUUUCUAAUUUUUCUUUCUUAAAUACCAUUCGAACCCAAAUUUUCACUAUUUUUUCCUAAAAUUAUU